This 985-nucleotide long non-coding RNA is filed under the name Chinchilla lanigera (long-tailed chinchilla). Its description in RNAcentral is "lncRNA (ENSCLAG00000026996.1)". Lineage: Eukaryota; Metazoa; Chordata; Mammalia; Rodentia; Chinchillidae. The record is from RNAcentral.
UGGCAAGUCAUGGAAGGGGAAUAGGCAGGGGCAAAGCAGGAAAGAGCAAAAUGUUAACCUUUUGAAGCAUGGAGAGGGCAAUUAGCUGCCUCCUUUGUGGUUUUAUCUGAAAAGGAAUUCCUGGUGGCUGGGGAGGCUGAGAGUCCUCAGUGUCCUCUGCAAUGAAGCCAAGCUGCCUGUGUUGGUAACUGGUCUGGAGAAGGGCUUUAAUGUAUGGUGAAUUAAUGACUGAGGAUCCCCAAGAGGUAUUACAGACAUAUAAAUCCUGGAGAUGAAAACAAAAAGAUGAAAGGGGAGAGUUCCUUAUUGGUGACCAGUAUGACUUAUACAGGGAGCUGCUGUGACAGGAGUGUCCCAACGUAGAUCUUGAGACUGCCUGCACAGCAGGGCUCCUCCAGGACCAUCCCUGCCAUCACUUAAUGUGGAAGUGUCUGAAGCAGCAUCGAGCAGGCAGCAGUUGGGCUCUGGGGAACUUCACCAACAGAAGACCAGUCCCAGUCCCCCCAUCCAGAGGCCAAGAUCAGCUCCAUCCUCUGCACAAUUCCCAUGGCAAACUUGGCUGGAGUACACAGCACAUUUCUGGCAUCUGACAUCGACAUUAUCACAAAACUGUAAACACCAGAGGUGCCCAUUGAGACCUCAUCAUCGUCUGGAUUUUACAAAUUGUAAUGACAGGGAAAAUUUUCUGGAAUUCUCACAAGUAUAUUCCAAUCUGCCACUUCCAGUGUAACUCAUGAUGAGAAUAAAAAGAUGAAGACAUUUGCAGUUAUGAGGAGCCAAGGGAGUCCUUAGUGUUCUUGUUACUUUUGCUAUUUUCCACCACUGUGAACUGUUGCCUCUGCCAUGUGCCACUCUACCUUGGAGCCAGCCAAGUAUGGACUGUGAGACCUCCACAAACUGUGAGCUAAAUAAACCUCUCCUUCCUUAAUUUUGGGCAUCAACUAUUUUGUUCCAGCAAUGAGAGAGAAGUUACCAAAACAAAUAC